GAUGCUGCUGGCGGAACCUGCAGGAGCUAGCGGGAUUCGGGGGCGCUAAAGUCGCAGGGGCAGGGCGGGAAGGAAGAUCCGGCGCGGGGCACAGGAUCCGGAGCUGGAGCCCCCAGAACUCUGUGAGAGGUGCCCCCUCCGCCAUCACCUGAGCUCCAUCGAAUGCCUGAAAUCCUCACCUCUGCAGGAGUGAGUCUCCCAAGAGGCCCUGGAGGCCCAGGCCCAGACCCUGGGGGAUAUGGAAGCACUCCUUUGUCGUGGCGUGGGAAGCCCCACACUGCUCUUUCCUUGGUGACGGGUGACCCGCCAUGUUCAGGCCCCUCCUGGUCUAUCUUCGGGAAGCCGAGGCAGCAGCUUGGAGCCAGAGCCGGAGGCAGAGCGGCUCCAUCCGUGGGGAGCCGCGCCACCUCUGCGCCUCCUCCGCGCCUCCUCUGCGCCCCGCGCCGUGCUGAGUCAGGCUCUGAAACGCAGUCAUCAUCCGGAAGUGGUUCUUGCUGUGGCCCCAUCCCCCUGUGUGAUUUUCCUACCUUGGCUCACUUAAAAUUUCAAUCUGGCUCUGA
RNAcentral lists this long non-coding RNA (560 nucleotides) under Homo sapiens (human). RNAcentral's name for it is "non-protein coding lnc-RNF207-4:1". Lineage: Eukaryota; Metazoa; Chordata; Mammalia; Primates; Hominidae. The record is from RNAcentral.